This is a long non-coding RNA of Bombus huntii, 1875 nucleotides long. RefSeq lists it as uncharacterized. The record is from RefSeq and is a predicted model, not a curated record. Lineage: Eukaryota; Metazoa; Arthropoda; Insecta; Hymenoptera; Apidae. The transcript is spliced from 2 exons.
CACACAGGCAUAGUUCGUUUGGCUUCCACCUAAUCCAUCAUCCUGAUAUUCCACUCGAAUAAGUGGAUUCGCCCAUUCAUGACCAGACUAUACUUAAAGCAUCUGUAAUGCGAGAAUCUUUAAGAAUCCCUUCUUCAAAUUAGAUACGUGCUCGGUGGAAUUUGAAUGGGAAAUUGUUUCAAGAAAUUGUGGGAUAUUUGAAAUUGUGAGAAACAGUAACCAAAGGGUUGUCUUUGUGAGGAUAGGAAAGCGUUGAAUGGAACUUGAUGGGGAGAAAAAGUGGUUUGAAGCAGCUUCAGGAACCUUUUGAUGGAAAAGUAAUGAAUAUGAUGAUAACGAAAGAAAAGUUCAUGACCCUAUUGGAAUUACUGGCUAAGAAAGAUUUAAAAAGCCAUUUUUGAUACAAAUUGAAAGAACACAGAAUUAUGCCUGGCAAUAUUUGUCACUGGAUCGAGUUGACAGUUUACAGACUUGUAAUUCAACUAAUAUAAUUAGAUAGACAGAAUGCUUCACCUACUUUCUUCACUGGCUGCAUCUUGCUAAUUACAGAACAACCUAACCCAGUUGAGAGUUAAAUUUAUCAAGAUUUUCUUAUAAAAAUCACACGAACAGUCCACAGUAAAAAUCACGAAUUUGUUCCAAAAUCCAAACCUGACCCAGAUCGUUGAAAUACUCAAAAAUACGUUCUUGUAAAACCACCAAAUUUUUAUACAAAAUUCCAAACUGAUCGCUUUGACUAUUCUAAAAAUUCUAAUUUUAAAUUUUCCACAGAUGUAUGAUCAGCCAUAGUCUACCAGUCGCUAUAGUCGAGAUGGCCCUACGACGCUAAUCAACAACCCCAUAAUAUAAUAAUCCAUAAGCAUUCAGCCAAAACUUAGCCUUGUUUGGUAAUAAGAGAAAUAAAAAAUCCAUAGUUAUUUAUUUAUUAAUUACUAUAGCCACCAAUUACUAGCCCUACUUCGACCAUUAACCAACAGGCCCAUAAUAAUUAUUUAUGUAAUUAUUAAUUAUUCAAAAAAUGGCCUGAUUUUAUAGGAAAAAAUUUGUUUAAAUUUAAAAUAUUCACGAAUAAGUGACAGUAGCGGCUGAAAUUUUCUAUGCAGCUUAUUUCCGCUGGUACCUAAAGCCGCGAAUGAAUAUUCAAUGGGGGUUGCUAUUUCGAGUAGGAUCACGAAGUCCGGAUUUUUCUCGGCGAGUUCGCGCGGGUCGUUGCACCCUCGGCUUGACGUUGGGUGGCGGUUCUAUUUGAUUUCUGGCUAGCAUACAAAACUAAUUAAGGCCAAGACAAACCAUCCGGGACUGGGAUAAAACUUAUUUAUAGAGGCGACUAAUUUUGAAAAACGGCCGAUGGUGUUUUUGCGCAAUGGGCUGCCUCGGCCCCCAACACCCCCGAUAAUUCGUCGUUCGAUUAAGAAAUUCUGCAACUCAGAUUAUGCCCCUGUAUCGAUCGGUUAAUUUAUAGAAAUACAUUUCAAAGAAAUUUUACGUUUUUGAAGCAAUAAAAAUUUCAGCGAAUUUGUAUUUUCAGGUAGAUAAGUUAAACGCUUUUGUAUAGAAUUUAAUCGAAUCUUUUUAUCCUAAGUUUAGCGGAAAAAAUAGUUUGAGAAUCUGUGACGUGAUACGUUUGUCGAAAUCGGUGAAAUUUGAUAGAACGAGAAAUUUUACGAACACGUUAUAUCAACAUAUUAUUUAAAUGGAUAAAAGAAGCUUGAGAAUGUUUGAAGAAUCGUGUUUGUCGAAGUUGAGUCUUGAACCAUUGGCUAAAGGGAAAUACGUAGCAUACUCUCGAAAUAGUAACAUGCGAUACAAGCACUUACCACACUUGAAGCACAUCUUGUGCCAUUUGAGUCCUCCGGCGACGCGUUCUUCCGCGGC